RNAcentral lists this ribosomal RNA (433 nucleotides) under uncultured bacterium. Its description in RNAcentral is "partial 16S ribosomal RNA". It matches the Rfam family "Bacterial small subunit ribosomal RNA", at positions 29 to 507 of the family's 1533-position model. The record is from RNAcentral.
AACGAACGCUGGCGGCAUGCCUAACACAUGCAAGUCGAACGAGACCUUCGGGUCUAGUGGCGCACGGGUGCGUAACGCGUGGGAACCUGCCCUUAUGUUCGGAAUAACUCCCCGAAAGGGGUGCUAAUACCGGAUAAUGUCUUCGGACCAAAGAUUUAUCGCCUUUGGAUGGGCCCGCGUUGGAUUAGCUAGUUGGUAGGGUAAAAGCCUACCAAGGCGACGAUCCAUAGCUGGUCUGAGAGGAUGAUCAGCCACACUGGGACUGAGACACGGCCCAGACUCCUACGGGAGGCAGCAGUGGGGAAUAUUGGACAAUGGGCGAAAGCCUGAUCCAGCAAUGCCGCGUGAGUGAUGAAGGCCUUAGGGUUGUAAAGCUCUUUUACACGGGAUGAUAAUGACAGUACCGGGAGAAUAAGCUCCGGCUAACUCCGUG